CCCGCUACCCUCGCGGCUCCGGCGUCCAGGAGGAUACAGCAUGAGCAGUCGCAGCUCCCGCUCUUUCUGCUUCAUCUUCUUCAGAAUGGAACCCAGACUCGGCCAGGAACGGAAACCUGGAUUGUAUCUUGGCUGCACAGGGGGUAGGAGUUGUGACUCAGGAGUCGGAAUCGACAGCCCCAAGGAUGUUGACAAGCUCGUCCGGGGGCCAGUGUAAGGCCCUGUUCCCCGGAAACAUGAUCCAGGUCCUGCUCAUCUUAGGUCUCGGCAUCAUUCUGAACCUGCCAGUUACAGGGCCUCCCCUUUUCCCCGUCUCCUGGACUCGUAGAGGGUGGGCCGGGGAUUCUUCGUCGCGGACGAAAAUGCCCCCUAGGGGCCGUUUCGAAAUGUGCUGGAACAUUUUGGGCUUGUCCCAAUUACAA
This is a long non-coding RNA of Panthera uncia (snow leopard), 422 nucleotides long. RefSeq lists it as uncharacterized. The transcript has 2 exons. The record is from RefSeq and is a predicted model, not a curated record. Lineage: Eukaryota; Metazoa; Chordata; Mammalia; Carnivora; Felidae.